Molecule: ribosomal RNA, 437 nt
Filed under: Pseudoporrhopis granum
Lineage: Eukaryota; Metazoa; Arthropoda; Arachnida; Araneae; Thomisidae
Description: partial 16S ribosomal RNA
Source: RNAcentral
UUUUAUUAGAAAUUAUUAAUAAUAAAAUCUGCUCAAUGAAAUUAAAUAGCCGCUUUUGUGCUAAGGUAGCAUAAUCAUUUGUCUUUUAAUUUAAGACUAGAACAAAAGAUUUUACAUUUAAAUUAAUAUUAUAUUUAUUAAAUUAAAAUUAUUCUUAAUGUAAAAAAACAUUAAUUUAUUAAAUAGACGAUAAGACCCUAUCGAACUUAACUUUAGUUUAACUGGGGCAGUUAAUUAAUUAUCAUUUUAAAAUAAUAUAAAAAAUAAAUGUCCUAAUAAAAUUAAUUUUAUGACUAAGUUACCGUAGGGAUAACAGUGUAAUAUUAUUUAAAAGAUCUUAUUUAAAAUAAAGAUUGCAACCUCGAUGUUGACUUAAUAACCUAAUUUACGCAAUAGUUUAUAAAGGAAGUCUGUUCGACUUUUAAAAAAUUACAUGA